Molecule: ribosomal RNA, 461 nt
Filed under: uncultured bacterium
Lineage: Bacteria
Description: partial 16S ribosomal RNA
Rfam family: Bacterial small subunit ribosomal RNA
Source: RNAcentral
CCUACGGGUGGCAGCAGUGAGGAAUAUUGGUCAAUGGGCGCGAGCCUGAACCAGCCAAGUCGCGUGAGGGAGGACGGCCCUACGGGUUGUAAACCUCUUUUGCCGGGGAGCAACGGGCGUCACGUGUGGCGCCACUGAGAGUACCCGGAGAAUAAGCCACGGCUAACUACGUGCCAGCAGCCGCGGUAAUACGUAGGUGGCAAGCGUUAUCCGGAUUUACUGGGUGUAAAGGGCGUGUAGGCGGGAGAGCAAGUCAGACGUGAAAUUCCAGGGCUCAACCCUGGAACUGCGUUUGAAACUGUUCUUCUUGAGUGAUGGAGAGGCAGGCGGAAUUCCGUGUGUAGCGGUGAAAUGCGUAGAUAUACGGAGGAACACCAGUGGCGAAGGCGGCCUGCUGGACAUUAACUGACGCUGAGGCGCGAAAGCGUGGGGAGCAAACAGGAUUAGAUACCCCGGUAGUC